This is a long non-coding RNA of Chinchilla lanigera (long-tailed chinchilla), 3267 nucleotides long. RefSeq lists it as uncharacterized. Lineage: Eukaryota; Metazoa; Chordata; Mammalia; Rodentia; Chinchillidae. The transcript has 3 exons. The record is from RefSeq and is a predicted model, not a curated record.
UCUCACUUCUAAUAAAAAUACACAGUCAUUCAUCAUUUAAAAUUUUUUAUUAGUCUAUUUGAUUACUGGUAUAACUUUUCAUUAGUCUGUUUGAUCACUGUUGGUUUUAUACUCUUAAAGCAUGUCUACUUACAAAAACAUGGUACUUGGUUAUCACUUAAAAUGGUCAAACAGAGCUGAACAUGGUGGCUUACACUUCUAAACCCAGCAGCUGGGAGACUGAGGCAGUAGGACCACUGUGAAUUCAAGGCCAGCAUGGGCUACAUAGUGAGUUUAAGGCCACCCUGAACUACAUAGUGAGAGCCUCUCAAAAAAAUGGUCAAACUUACUGAUUACUUAGAAACAAGAGAUUAUUAGCAUAUUUCAAAAAAGAAAAAAACUGAAAAAGCUUUUAUAGCUAAAAUGAAAAUAACCAUGUUUAAGUCAUUUGGAAUGACAAAAAUACUGCUUUAAGACAAAAUCUAUGUUUCAAUCCAGCACAUCUUUAAAAAGUCCACUUCAUCAAUGCACAGAAAUUUCCCACCCUUUUAAGGACCACUUCUAGUUUUAGGUACAUUUUCCUAAAUUUUUGUUAUGUAUUUUUUUUUAAAACAAUAGCAUCUGUUUUGAAUAAAUAAAAAAUGUGUUAAAUGGCAGUGUCUGUUUAGAUAUCAGGGGGCAAAAAAGUAGUUUCAGUAUUUUUAUCAUCUUAGGUAAUAUAUUUAAAAGUCAUGAAAAAGGAGUAACAUGUGGAAAGUUCCCCAACACAGGAUAAUUUGUAGAAAUUAUUUAAGUUAAAAUAAAACACUUAAAGUAUGUAUCUUUUAGGAUCUGUCAGUUCUAAUUUCUAAAGUGAAAGUCAUAUUUUCAUUUCUUAAAUAUAUGCAAUCAAGCUCCUUUAAAAUAUAUGCAAUACUGACAAAAAUACAGUUCUGCAUUACAAUGCUGAAAAGGGAAUAAAAAUAGAUAUAGUUAUACAUGGAAAAGUGAACACUUCAAUCAAAUGAAUAAAACAGACACGAGGCAGAGUCAACAUCUUAGCAUAAAGGUGUGUGGUAGAGAGAGUAAGAUAACGAAAGCUUGAAAAGAAUGUCUCUUUUAGAGAAUGAAUUCUCACUAACAUGAGAAGAAAAGAAAAUGUUUCCCUCUAUUACCAGAAGAUGCAGGACUUAUCGAGAGGGGCAUCAAGUGAAUAUAUUCACUAAUGAUGUAAGAGAAGAAAGGUUUAUCAUAUCAGACAACAGACACUAUUUGUGUUUUAUGCUAGAGAUACUAUUCAAAACCUAAACUCUGGAAAUUUGGAACAAAACCACUCGUAUUGGUAACAGGUUGAUGGAUUUUUUUUUUGUCCUUAAUGUUUCUCUGAAAUAUACUAUGAAUGACAAUAUUUUGAUGCAUAUAGAUGUACUUUAUUCAAACUACUACAUUGUUCUAGGUUACAUAGGUGGCUUUGUUUGAGCUGGUACAACAAAAUACCAUAGACUGCAAGUCUGAGAUCAGUGCCGGUCAGGUUUUCCGGAGGGAACUCUUCCCAGCUGUGGGUGGCUGCCUUCUUGCUGUGCUCUCACACGGGGCAGAGAGCAGCUCGAUCGCAUCUCUUCCUUAAAGCACCUAAUAUCCUCAGGGCUCCUUUCACGUAACCUCACUUACCUUAAAUUCUUUCCUAAGGGCCCCACCUCCAAAUACAUACUGGUGGUUAAACCUCAAUAUAUGAGUUUUGGGAAGAUAGAGGAGUCUGUAGUCCAUAAAGCAUGUGAUAAGACUCUGUUUGGAAUAGUAGGAGGGAGGGAAAGAGGAAGCCAGGAGUAUGAAGCGGAGUUUGGAAGCAGGGUUAUGAACUUCCCAGAGAAACGCAGUGACACUGCUGGGCCCACUCGAGGUCAGUCUAUUUAUACGUUUCUCCAUCUCCUAACGUUGAAACACAAGAUGGAAAGUGGUAUUUGAGUAAAAGCAGGAAAUGGGGUUCAAGGAAAGUGAGAACAGACAGAAGAGCAAUUGUCAAAGGUUUUGCAGAAUGACUACAUCAGAGCAAGGAUGAAGCAACACAGAGAAGGGGUGGUUUUGGUUAUCUGCUGCUGCCCAGUUAUCUCAAAACUUUGGCUUAAAACAAGCACUUCAUUUUGGUCACAAUUUAAGGAAUCCUUAAAGAGCCUAGAUAAAUGAUGUGUUUCUGCUACAUCUGGUAUUAUCUAGAGCAGCUCUUUUUAAAAAACUUUAUCCCUACUGUAAAAUCUAUCAUCUUAAAGUAUACAAUUUAGCAGUUUUAAAAUACAUUCACAAAUUUGUGCGACUAUCACUGCUGUCUUAUUUCCAGAACAUUUUCAUCACCCUCAAAGGAGGACCAUGCGCACCAAGCAAUCACUUCUCAUCUUCCCCUUGCCCCAGACCUGGGAAGCACUAAUCUUUCUGUUUCUAUGGACUUGCCUAUUCUGGAAUUUCUCAGAAAUGAAGUACAUAGCCUUUUAUGUCUGGUUUCUCUCACGAUGUUUUCCAGGCUCAUCCUUGUCAAAAUAUGAGAACCUCCUUUUUUGCAGAGCCAAAUUAGUACUCCACUGUAUGGAUAUGUCACGUUGUUUAGCGAUUCAUCAGUUGAUGGGCACUGGGGUUAUUUCAUCUUUUGGAUGUUAAGAAUAAUCUUGCUAUAAAAUUUGCAUACAAGCUUUUGUGCAGACAUAAGGUUGCAGUUCUCUAAGGUGUAUUAUCUAGGGGUGGAGUUGCUGGGUAAUAUGGCAACACUGUAUUUAAUUAUUUGAGCAAGCAGCUGGGUCUUGAGGAUUUGUUUCCAACAUAGCAAUUUUAUUCAUGUCUGAUGUCUUCUUUAAAGUCUCUACAGGUGGCAUGGAAUUUUCCAGUAUGAUUUCCAGGUAACCACAGAACCUAAGAGAGGAAGUAUUCUAAAGAGGAAAUGGAAAAUGCCAGGCCACUUUAAGGGCCAAGUCUGGAACUGGCAGAAUCAUUUUAUAUUCUUCUGGUCAAAUUACUCAAGACAUGCAGGAACAGAAAUAACUCCGCCUCUUAAUGGGGGUACAAGGUCACACUACAGAACAGCAUAUGGGUUUUUCAUACACAUUAAGCACGUACCUCCAGUCAGUACUGCUUUACCUCUUCAAACAGUAAGCUUGAGGCCCCUACGGCUCGCCAGUAGCCGGCGUCUGCAGAGGUACAGAGAACCCAAGCCCCGGGGUGCUGCGCCGUGACCAGACGCGGAACCACAGAACUGAUUUCUAGACCUGCCAGGAGACACCCGGACUGCGGCCUACGGGCGAAAACGCUUCUGCCCGGGGAACA